UGGGGAAUCUUGCGCAAUGGACGAAAGUCUGACGCAGCCACGCCGCGUGAGUGAAGAAGGCCUUCGGGUUGUAAAGCUCUGUCGGGAGGGACGAAAAAUCUUAGGGUUAAUAGCCCUAGGACUUGACGGUACCUUCAAAGGAAGCACCGGCUAACUCUGUGCCAGCAGCCGCGGUAAUACAGAGGGUGCAAGCGUUGCUCGGAAUCAUUGGGCGUAAAGGGCAGGUAGGUGGUCUCAUUUGUCUGGGGUGAAAGCCUUGAGCUUAACUCAAGAAGUGCCCCAGAAACGGUGAGACUAGAGUCUUGGAGGGGGUCGCGGAAUUCCCGGUGUAGCGGUGAAAUGCGUAGAGAUCGGGAGGAACACCAGAGGCGAAAGCGGCGACCUGGACAAGUACUGACACUCAACUGCGAAAGCGUGGGGAGCAAACAGG
Molecule: ribosomal RNA, 430 nt
Filed under: uncultured bacterium
Lineage: Bacteria
Description: bacterial SSU rRNA
Rfam family: Bacterial small subunit ribosomal RNA
Source: RNAcentral